GGAGAAUAUGUUGUCUGGGAGAAGCAACCAAAGAGUGGACAGAAGAUUCAAGAGUGGGUGGAGUUGGAGGCUGCAUAGAAUACACAGCUUCAGAAGUGCUGAACAGGACUCAGAGAUCACAGAAAGCUGAGGAAGUGGACGUGGCCCAGAGGAGCUCCCCUGCCCAAGCAGAGUUUUUCUGCUUAACCACUAGGGCAAGCAACCCAUUUGUACGUAAUUUUGUGAAUGACAGCUAAUAUCCCCACAUAACCCUUGGACUCCAAAAGCUGCAGCUGUAAAAGAAAUGCCAAGAAGGCUUCAAGUCUGAGGAAUUAACUUCCCUUCAUGUGCAAAGAACAGCUAAAUCCACAGCGGGACUUCUGUGAUGUUACACUGCUGUACGCAUGCGCUCUCUGCCAGCUGCUCCAUGGCAGGUCAGUGGGUGCCCCACAGGAGGUGUGAAGCCAAAGCAUCACAUUGCUGAAGAACUGCAGCAGGAUGGGAGGGAGCAUCUGUGCCAUGGAAGAGCCUCGUGGUUAGGACAUGGCUUUGAAUCCUCUCAAGGGGAGGGAACCCAAUGUGGGUCCCUCACAUCCUGAAAGUGCUCUGUGGCUGCUGUGCUCUGGGUUAAGCUGCUGGGCUCUACUCCUCUCAGCAGUCACCCUUCCUGGUGGAAUGCUUCCAAGGCACAAAGCAGAGGAACAGUUGGAUCUGUGCACUGAACACUUCCUGAGCAAGGCUGAGACCCCAGGGCUGGGUGGUAUAGACAGGAGAGCUAAGAGGGAUGGCACCAGAGGAGUCUGAGUUCAAAUCCAAUGGGGUUUCAAUUCCAGCAGGAUUAGGAGACAGCUGCCUCCAGUUAAGGAGUUUCAAGGAACAUGAUUUUGGACUAAAGUUCUUAACUUUUCUCACUUCGAUUACAUCUGGCAACUUGGAAAUACUACCAUUCUUAUUCCACAUAAAAGUGAAUCAGCAAGAAAGUGUUGGAACUUAUCUCUGAGAUUUUAUUUUAUUUUUUCCAUUUGUAGUGCUCCUAAAAUUCAUGGGACCCCAGAGAGGACACUUUUCCAUGUCUGUUUAUUUUUCUCCAGUAAUGCACCACUGAGAAAUGUUGUUAUGUGUGUUUUGACAGUGCAGAUCCUCCUUCACAUUACCACCGUGGUUGUGUGCAGAGGUGCUGAGCAGAUUCUGAUCCCAUGGAUGAUGCUGGAAGUACCAAUUGGUGGAAAUCAUUCCACACCAAAAGCAAGCAUGUUCAUGAGAGUAUGGGCUACUAAAUCUAUCUUCCUUCCUUCCUUCCCUCCUUCCCUCCUUCCCUCCUUCCUUCCUUCCUUCCUUCCUUCCUUCCUUCCUUCCUUCCUUCCUUCCUUCCUUCCUUCCUUCCUUCCUUCCUUCCUUCCUU
This is a long non-coding RNA of Gallus gallus (chicken), 1381 nucleotides long. Lineage: Eukaryota; Metazoa; Chordata; Aves; Galliformes; Phasianidae. The record is from Ensembl.